This 526-nucleotide long non-coding RNA is filed under the name Rhinopithecus bieti (black snub-nosed monkey). Its description in RNAcentral is "lncRNA (ENSRBIG00000046747.1)". The record is from RNAcentral. Lineage: Eukaryota; Metazoa; Chordata; Mammalia; Primates; Cercopithecidae.
GUGAAGGAGUCCUGGGUCCUGAAGUGGCAACUGUGGAGGUCGCUGUGUUCCAUCCUAUGCUGCAGACCCAGGGCCGGGCCACAGAGCUCGGGAGAGGGGCAGGAAGAGGGUGCAGGGAGGAAGAGGGGCCAGGUGCUCUGCCCACACACUGAGUCUGAGGAGCCGUCCAGGAGCAAAGGGCUGGAAGUUUCCUAUGAAAGAGAGAAUCCACUUAAGAAUAAACUUCAGAGCUGGUCACAGUGGCUCACGCGUGUAAUCCCAGUACCUUGGGAGGCUGAGGCGUGUGGAUCACCUGAGGUCAGGAGCAUGAGACCAGCCUGGCCAACAUGGUGAAACCCCAUCUCUACUAAAUGCAAAAAAAAUCAUCUGAGCAUGGUGGAACAUGCCUGUAAUCCCAGCUACUUGGGAGACUGAGGCAGGAGAAUCACUUGAACCCGAGAGACAGAGGUUGCAGUGAGCCGCGAUCACGCCACUGUACUCCAGCCUGGGCAACAAGAGUGAAAUUCUGUCUCAAAAAAGCAAAAAC